AUCACUUCUGUGAGUUUGUUAAUCUGCUGUUUAAACCAAUUAUUAAUGAAUAGGUACAAAAAAUACAACCUCUUUCACAACCCAGAACUCAUUGUCUGGCAUGAGUUUUGAUACAUAUAAGAAGGAAUGUU
Small nucleolar RNA from Cavia porcellus (domestic guinea pig), 131 nucleotides. Ensembl annotates it as small nucleolar RNA SNORA40. NCBI's taxonomy places the organism in Eukaryota, Metazoa, Chordata, Mammalia, Rodentia, Caviidae. The record is from Ensembl.